Molecule: ribosomal RNA, 468 nt
Filed under: uncultured bacterium
Lineage: Bacteria
Description: partial 16S ribosomal RNA
Rfam family: Bacterial small subunit ribosomal RNA
Source: RNAcentral
GACGAACGCUGGCGGCGUGCUUAACACAUGCAAGUCGAACGGAAAGGCCCUGCUUUUGUGGGGUGCUCGAUUGGCGAACGGGUGAGUAACACGUGAGUAACCUGCCCUUGACUUUGGGAUAACUUCCGGGAACUGGGGCUAAUACCGGAUAUGAGCUCCUGCUGCAUGGUGUGGUUUGGAAAGUUUCGGCGGUUGGGGAUGGACUCGCGGCUUAUCAGCCUGUUGGUGGGGUAGUGGCUUACCAAGGCUUUGACGGGUAGCCGGCCUGAGAGGGUGACCGGCCACAUGGGGACUGAGAUACGGACCAGACUCCUACGGGAGGCAGCAGUGGGGAAUAUUGCACAAUGGGCGGAAGCCUGAUGCAGCAACGCCGCGUGCGGGAUGACGGCCUUCGGGUUGUAAACCGCUUUCGCCUGUGACGAGGCGUGAGUGACGGUAAUGGGUAAAGAAGCACCGGCUAACUACGUG